CUUAACCCUCCACCUCUACCCUGAGCUCCCCACCCCUGCAGGAGAAUCAUGGUAACAGCCAACACCUGUGAGUCCAGUCACCCCUGACCUUGGCUGCUGCUGGCUCCUGAAUUGGCUGCUGUGGACCCCAGCCCUUCUCUACACGGUUUCCCAUCCCGACUGCCUCCCCACCUAAAGGCUGCAUCUCACCAGCUGGCUAAGGGUCAAGACAGGGAAGACAGCGUGAAGAAACACCAGGGCUCUGAUCUACGACUUGAUGGUGCAGCCUUCUGGAUGUGAGAUACAGAUGUUUUCCUCUUCUGGAAGAGAAGCAGCCAAAGGCCCUGGAGCAACAGUGGCAGUUGGAAAACUGGGGCCAUGGGGACACUGACAGGUGCGCAGAAACCAGCACGCCUGCUGGGCGCCCCAGCAGGUAAGUUAGAAUAAAAGAGGCACUUGUGGGGACUUGACUCA
This 453-nucleotide long non-coding RNA is filed under the name Sus scrofa (pig). Its description in RNAcentral is "lncRNA (ENSSSCG00070027047.1)". Lineage: Eukaryota; Metazoa; Chordata; Mammalia; Artiodactyla; Suidae. The record is from RNAcentral.